This 206-nucleotide unclassified non-coding RNA is filed under the name Hevea brasiliensis (rubber tree). Lineage: Eukaryota; Viridiplantae; Streptophyta; Magnoliopsida; Malpighiales; Euphorbiaceae. The record is from RNAcentral.
GGAGCUAAUCCAAAGCUUGUAAGAUCUCUUUCUUUUUAAUUCUUUUUGCUCCCAAAAGACUCACUAAGAUGAUAGAACAAUUUUUUGUGUUAGGAAAUUUAGGUUUUAAUGGAUGGAAACCCAAGAAAUCAAGCUUAGUAAAGCUUAGUUAUGGAGGGCAAAGGGGGCGGCAAGAAAGGAGAGAAGAAGAGCAGAUGGUGGUUCAC